AACGCUAGCUACAGGCUUAACACAUGCAAGUCGAGGGGAAACGACGUUGAGGGCUUGCCCUCAUCGGGCGUCGACCGGCGCACGGGUGAGUAACGCGUAUCCAACCUGCCCCCUACAGGGGAAUAAUCCGUCGAAAGGCGGUCUAAUGCCCCAUAUGUUCCGAGGCGGACAUCCAAAUUGGAAGAAAGUGGCGACACGGUAGGGGAUGGGGAUGCGUCCGAUUAGGUUGUUGGCGGGGCAACGGCCCACCAAGCCGUCGAUCGGUAGGGGUUCUGAGAGGAAGGUCCCCCACAUUGGAACUGAGACACGGUCCAAACUCCUACGGGAGGCAGCAGUGAGGAAUAUUGGUCAAUGGACGAGAGUCUGAACCAGCCAAGUAGCGUGCAGGAUGACGGCCCUAUGGGUUGUAAACUGCUUUUGUACGGGGAUAAAGUGAGCCACGCGUGGCUUAUUGCAGGUACCGUACGAAUAAGGACCGGCUAAUUCCGUGCCAGCAGCCGCGGUAAUACGGAAGGUCCGGGCGUUAUCCGGAUUUAUUGGGUUUAAAGGGAGCGCAGGCCGCAGGUUAAGCGUGUUGUGAAAUGCAGGGGCCCAACCUCUGCACUGCAGCGCGAACUGGUCUGCUUGAGUGCGCGCAACGUCAGCGGAAUUUGUCGUGUAGCGGUGAAAUGCUUAGAUAUCACGAAGAACUCCGAUUG
RNAcentral lists this ribosomal RNA (698 nucleotides) under uncultured Bacteroides sp. RNAcentral's name for it is "bacterial SSU rRNA". It matches the Rfam family "Bacterial small subunit ribosomal RNA", at positions 32 to 715 of the family's 1533-position model. Lineage: Bacteria; Pseudomonadati; Bacteroidota; Bacteroidia; Bacteroidales; Bacteroidaceae. The record is from RNAcentral.